Long non-coding RNA from Esox lucius (northern pike), 797 nucleotides. RefSeq lists it as uncharacterized. Lineage: Eukaryota; Metazoa; Chordata; Actinopteri; Esociformes; Esocidae. The transcript is spliced from 2 exons. The record is from RefSeq and is a predicted model, not a curated record.
GAGAAUCAUUGCAGUCUGAUCAGAUUCCAUCUAUUCCAACAAUUUUCACUCUAGUAAUUAACCACCUUUAGGGUAAAUGCUGUCUACGUCUGCUUAAUGUAUUUCAUUUGUAGACACUUGGUCCAAUACUGCUACCUCACACUUGUUGAGAAGCAGCUUCAAACAGAACAGAACGAAUGGAAUGACCACAUGAUCCGGAAGCAAGUUGGAGCAGCUGGGCCUUUUGGAAAACCAAACAUCAUGUAUUUCACACCUACCACUGGAACACCGAAUCUGCUUUGUCCAGUGGACAGAGACCUGACACACUAUGCCGCAACACUGGUGUGUGAAGAUGGAGCAGCACUGCUGGUUGCUAAUGAAGCUUUCCGAACACUCUGCCACAGAGUUCUUGCUCGUUCUGCUCUCCACAUUGACCACAUGUGUGUAGAGCGGUCGAUGGCUGCAUAUGUGUGCCUGAAGAACUUUUUCUUAGAAAAGUUGAUUGAUCUUUCAGUUGAUCAGCCUCAAAAUUUUGAAGAGGCUUGCCUUUUUUAUAUUACCAUUUAGGAUCCUUACAAUGAAUUAAUAUUAAGGACCUAGUAAGGUGUAGGCCAAACCAUUGUUAUCAGAACCUGACCUACUGUGUUUUUGGGUCAUUUACCUGUUUUUUCACAUCUUUUGCCAGCCUUUACCUGCGCAGUAGCCAGCCUCUAUUCUUUGGAUUUAGACCUAUAGCCUGCCAGACUAUUUUGCCUGGCUGCUGUUUUUGUCUUAUUGCCUCAAAUAAAACCCUUUUAUGCUCUACGCAUGCAUCUAUA